GACGAACGCUGGCGGCGUGCUUAACACAUGCAAGUCGAACGGAAAGGCCCUGCUUGCAGGGUACUCGAGUGGCGAACGGGUGAGUAACACGUGGGUGAUCUGCCCUGCACUUCGGGAUAAGCCUGGGAAACUGGGUCUAAUACCGGAUAGGAGCCAUUUUUAGUGUGAUGGUUGGAAAGUUUUUUCGGUGUAGGAUGAGCUCGCGGCCUAUCAGCUUGUUGGUGGGGUAAUGGCCUACCAAGGCGGCGACGGGUAGCCGGCCUGAGAGGGUGGACGGCCACAUUGGGACUGAGAUACGGCCCAGACUCCUACGGGAGGCAGCAGUGGGGAAUAUUGCACAAUGGGCGCAAGCCUGAUGCAGCGACUCCGCGUGGGGGAUGACGGCCUUCGGGUUGUAAACUCCUUUCGCUAGGGACGAAGCUUUUUGUGACGGUACCUAGAUAAGAAGCACCGGCUAACUACGUG
This 465-nucleotide ribosomal RNA is filed under the name uncultured bacterium. RNAcentral describes it as "partial 16S ribosomal RNA". It matches the Rfam family "Bacterial small subunit ribosomal RNA", at positions 28 to 507 of the family's 1533-position model. The record is from RNAcentral.